Molecule: ribosomal RNA, 254 nt
Filed under: uncultured bacterium
Lineage: Bacteria
Description: partial 16S ribosomal RNA
Rfam family: Bacterial small subunit ribosomal RNA
Source: RNAcentral
UACAGAGGUCUCAAGCGUUGUUCGGAAUUACUGGGCGUAAAGGGCUCGUAGGCGGCCAACUAAGUCAGACGUGAAAUCCCUCGGCUUAACCGGGGAACUGCGUCUGAUACUGGAUGGCUUGAGAUUGGGAGAGGGAUGCGGAAUUCCAGGUGUAGCGGUGAAAUGCGUAGAUAUCUGGAGGAACACCGGUGGCGAAGGCGGCAUCCUGGACCAACACUGACGCUGAGUGAGCGAAAGCCAGGGGAGCAAACGGG